Sitodiplosis mosellana (orange wheat blossom midge) is the source of this 687-nucleotide long non-coding RNA. RefSeq lists it as uncharacterized. The transcript has 3 exons. The record is from RefSeq and is a predicted model, not a curated record. NCBI's taxonomy places the organism in Eukaryota, Metazoa, Arthropoda, Insecta, Diptera, Cecidomyiidae.
UGGAAAGUUGAGGUAAUGCGAGGACAAUAGUUGCAGUAUGGCUGGUACGAAAAGAAAGAAGCGUGAUUCAAGGCAGAGAAAGCAAAAAAGGCGAAAACUUCUGUUCGAGGUCGUUCGAGGUUAUAGAGCGUGACCCCAGCGAUAAUACACCGAAGACUGAAUUGAUGUCAAUUAAUGACAAUCGAUGACAAUUGUAUUGAAGAAAUUUUGGAAUGGUUAUCGUUAUCCGAUUUGGUUAGCCUGAGCACAACGUGCAAACGAAUGAAAGAUGUUGUGAGCCGAUACUUCGGACGUAAAUAUCCGACGAAAAGGAUCACGAUAAAAAUCGAUAAAAAUGGACAGUCAUUUACGGGGGAGAAUCGGGGAGAAUUGAAUAUUAGCCCAGAGAAUUGUACGUACAACGAUUCCGUGAAUAUUUCCAAAAUAUUGCAAUCCGAGGUCGACAGCCGGUUAUUUUCCGACACGUUGGAUCUUUCUGCAACAAAACACCGAAAAAACUCCGUAUCCUCGAAGCAAAAGCCUUAACCGAAAUGCAUGGCAGAUGCAUUGAAGACUUAUUGAAAAAUGUCGAAAUUGUUGAGUUUGAAGAUUGUUCAUUUGCCACCGACUUCUACGAUUGUUUCUUGAAAUACUGCACAAAUUUGAAACCGUUUGAAACAGUUGAUCACCAGUGCCGGCAUCAAAUUU